AUUGAACGCUGGCGGAAUGCUUUACACAUGCAAGUCGAGCGGCAGCGCGGGGCAACCUGGCGGCGAGCGGCGAACGGGUGAGUAACAUAUCGGAACGUACCCAUUGGUGGGGGAUAACACAUCGAAAGAUGUGCUAAUACCGCAUACGACCUGAGGGUGAAAGGGGGGGAUCGCAAGACCUCUCGCCGUUGGAGCGGCCGAUAUCGGAUUAGCUAGUUGGUGAGGUAAAGGCUCACCAAGGCGACGAUCCGUAGCUGGUCUGAGAGGACGACCAGCCACACUGGAACUGAGACACGGUCCAGACUCCUACGGGAGGCAGCAGUGGGGAAUUUUGGACAAUGGGGGCAACCCUGAUCCAGCCAUUCCGCGUGAGUGAAGAAGGCCUUCGGGUUGUAAAGCUCUUUCGGCAGGAACGAAACGGUGGCUACUAAUACUAGCUACUAAUGACGGUACCUGAAGAAGAAGCACCGGCUAACUACGUGCCAGCCGCCGCUGUAA
Molecule: ribosomal RNA, 498 nt
Filed under: uncultured bacterium
Lineage: Bacteria
Description: partial 16S ribosomal RNA
Rfam family: Bacterial small subunit ribosomal RNA
Source: RNAcentral